This 421-nucleotide ribosomal RNA is filed under the name uncultured bacterium. Its description in RNAcentral is "bacterial SSU rRNA". It matches the Rfam family "Bacterial small subunit ribosomal RNA", at positions 355 to 773 of the family's 1533-position model. The record is from RNAcentral.
UGAGGAAUAUUGGGCAAUGCCCGCAAGGGUGACCCAGCAACGCCGCGUGGAGGAUGAAUGUCGUAAGAUUGUAAACUCCUGUUAGAGGGGAAGAAUAGUACCGGUUGGACCGGUAUAUGACUGUACCCUCAGAGAAAGCCCCGGCUAACUACGUGCCAGCAGCCGCGGUAAUACGUAGGGGGCAAGCGUUGUCCGGAUUUACUGGGUGUAAAGGGCGCGCAGGCGGGAUAAAAAGUCAGUGGUGAAAUCCUACAGCUUAACUGUAGAACUGCCUUUGAUACUUUUAUGCUUGAGUUCGGGAGAGAGAGACGGAAUUCCAGGUGUAGUGGUGAAAUACGUAGAUAUCUGGAAGAACACCAGUUGCGAAGGCGGUCUCUUGGUCCGACACUGACGCUGAGGCGCGAAAGCGUGGGGAGCAAAC